Molecule: ribosomal RNA, 401 nt
Filed under: Streptococcus vestibularis
Lineage: Bacteria; Bacillati; Bacillota; Bacilli; Lactobacillales; Streptococcaceae
Description: bacterial SSU rRNA
Rfam family: Bacterial small subunit ribosomal RNA
Source: RNAcentral
GACGAACGCUGGCGGCGUGCCUAAUACAUGCAAGUAGAACGCUGAAGAGAGGAGCUUGCUCUUCUUGGAAGAGUUGCGAACGGGUGAGUAACGCGUAGGUAACCUGCCUUGUAGCGGGGGAUAACUAUUGGAAACGAUAGCUAAUACCGCAUAACAAUGGGUGACCCAUGUCAUUCAUUUGAAAGGGGCAACUGUUCCACUACAAGAUGGACCUGCGUUGUAUUAGCUAGUAGGUGAGGUAACGGCUCACCUAGGCGACGAUACAUAGCCGACCUGAGAGGGUGAUCGGCCACACUGGGACUGAGACACGGCCCAGACUCCUACGGGAGGCAGCAGUAGGGAAUCUUCGGCAAUGGGGGCAACCCUGACCGAGCAACGCCGCGUGAGUGAAGAAGGUUUUC